GCAAACUUGGUCAUUUAGAGGAAGUAAAAGUCGUAACAAGGUUUCCGUAGGUGAACCUGCGGAAGGAUCAUUAACGUAAACCCGGUCCCACUGAUGCCGGAGGCGAAGACGCGGACCCACGCCCCGCCCGCACCCGCGGGAGUGAGGGGAGUGGCAAAGCAGAACGCUACACCCCAUGUGAAAACCCCCAGUUGCUUCGGCAGCGCGUCCCCGUGUCCCCCCCGUCCGCGGGAGGGGCCGCGGGAGCGGUCAGCCUGCCGGCGGCACGAAAGGAAACCCUUGAAAAUCCGAAAGGAAGCAAACAUGUCCGUCUGAAGCGCAAAGUCCAAUGACUAUAAAACUUUCAACAACGGAUCUCUUGGUUCCCGCAUCGAUGAAGAACGCAGC
RNAcentral lists this unclassified non-coding RNA (387 nucleotides) under uncultured fungus. RNAcentral's name for it is "partial contains small subunit ribosomal RNA, internal transcribed spacer 1, and 5.8S ribosomal RNA". The stretch from base 1 to 73 matches the Rfam family "Eukaryotic small subunit ribosomal RNA", at positions 1759 to 1831 of the family's 1831-position model. The record is from RNAcentral. Lineage: Eukaryota; Fungi.